RNAcentral lists this ribosomal RNA (614 nucleotides) under uncultured archaeon. RNAcentral's name for it is "bacterial SSU rRNA". It matches the Rfam family "Archaeal small subunit ribosomal RNA", at positions 1 to 622 of the family's 1478-position model. The record is from RNAcentral.
UUCCGGUUGAUCCUGCCGGACCUGACUGCUAUCGGAUUGAUACUAAGCCAUGCGAGUCAUUGUAGCAAUACAAGGCAGACGGCUCAGUAACGCGUAGUCAACCUAACCUAUGGACGGGAAUAACCUCGGGAAACUGAGAAUAAUGCCCGAUAGAACACUAUACCUGGAAUGGUUUGUGUUCCAAAUGAUUUAUCGCCGUAGGAUGGGACUGCGGCCUAUCAGUUUGUUGGUGAGGUAAUGGCCCACCAAGACUAUUACAGGUACGGGCUCUGAGAGGAGUAGCCCGGAGAUGGGUACUGAGACACGGACCCAGGCCCUAUGGGGCGCAGCAGGCGAGAAAACUUUGCAAUGUGCGAAAGCACGACAAGGUUAAUCCGAGUGGUUUGUGCUAAACGAACCUUUUGUCGGUCCUAGAAACACCGAUGAAUAAGGGGUGGGCAAGUUCUGGUGUCAGCCGCCGCGGUAACACCAGCCCCUCGAGUGGUCAGGAUGAUUAUUUGGCCUAAAGCAUCCGUAGCCGGCGCUGUAAGUUUUCGGUUAAAUCUGUACGCUCAACGUACAGGCUGCGGGAGAUACUACACGGCUAGAGAGUGGGAGAGGUCAGCGGUAUUCUG